GAUGAACGCUAGCGGCAGGCCUAAUACAUGCAAGUCGGACGGGAUUGAGAAGCUUGCUUUUCAUGAGAGUGGCGCACGGGUGCGUAACACGUAUGUAACCUACCCAUAUCAGGGGGAUAGCCUCUCGAAAGAGAGAUUAAGACCGCAUAACAUUAUUGAAUGGCAUCAUUUAAUAAUCAAAUAUUUAUAGGAUAUGGAUGGGCAUGCGGAACAUUAGCUAGUUGGUAAGGUAACGGCUUACCAAGGCUACGAUGUUUAGGGGAUCUGAGAGGAUGACCCCCCACACUGGUACUGAGACACGGACCAGACUCCUACGGGAGGCAGCAGUAAGGAAUAUUGGUCAAUGGACGGAAGUCUGAACCAGCCAUGCCGCGUGCAGGAAGACGGCCCUAUGGGUUGUAAACUGCUUUUGCAGGGGAAUAAACCUCGAUACGUGUAUCGAGCUGAAUGUACUCUGAGAAUAAGGAUCGGCUAACUCCGUGCCAGCCGCCGCGGUAA
RNAcentral lists this ribosomal RNA (498 nucleotides) under uncultured bacterium. RNAcentral's name for it is "partial 16S ribosomal RNA". It matches the Rfam family "Bacterial small subunit ribosomal RNA", at positions 28 to 523 of the family's 1533-position model. The record is from RNAcentral.